Molecule: ribosomal RNA, 278 nt
Filed under: unidentified marine bacterioplankton
Lineage: Bacteria
Also listed under: 1 other name
Description: partial 16S ribosomal RNA
Rfam family: Bacterial small subunit ribosomal RNA
Source: RNAcentral
AGGCUUAACACAUGCAAGUCGAACGGGAAGGUUCCUUCGGGAACCGGCGAGUGGCGCACGGGUGAGUAACGCGUGGGGAUCUGCCUCGAAGUGGGGAAUAACCGCUGGAAACGGCGGCUAAUACCGCAUACGCCCUCAGGGGGAAAGCUUUAUGCGCUUCGAGAUGAACCCGCGUCGGAUUAGCUAGUUGGUGAGGUAAAGGCUCACCAAGGCGACGAUCCGUAGCUGGUCUGAGAGGAUGAUCAGCCACACUGGGACUGAGACACGGCCCAGACUCC